GAAAUGCGAUAAGUAAUGUGAAUUGCAGAAUUCAGUGAAUCAUCGAAUCUUUGAACGCACAUUGCGCCCGCCAGUACUCUGGCGGGCAUGCCUGUUCGAGCGUCAUUUCAACCAUCAAGCCCCCGGCUUGUGUUGGGGACCUGCGGCUGCCCGCAGGCCCUGAAAAACAGUGGCGGGCUCGCUGUCACACCGAGCGUAGUAGCAUACAUUCUCGCUCAGGGCGUGCUGCGGGUUCCGGCCGUUAAACGACCUUCAUAACCCAAGGUUGACCUCGGAUCAGGUAGGAAGACCCGCUGAACUUAAG
RNAcentral lists this unclassified non-coding RNA (304 nucleotides) under plant metagenome. RNAcentral describes it as "partial contains 5.8S ribosomal RNA, internal transcribed spacer 2, and large subunit ribosomal RNA". The stretch from base 1 to 105 matches the Rfam family "5.8S ribosomal RNA", at positions 50 to 154 of the family's 154-position model. The record is from RNAcentral.